CCUACGGGUGGCUGCAGUGGGGAAUAUUGGGCAAUGGGCGCAAGCCUGACCCAGCAACGCCGCGUGAAGGAAGAAGGCUUUCGGGUUGUAAACUUCUUUUGUCAUGGACGAAACAAGUGACGGUACCUGACGAAUAAGCCACGGCUAACUACGUGCCAGCAGCCGCGGUAUGACGGAGGUGGCGAGCGUUCGCCGGAUGUGCUGGGGUUAAAGGGCGUGUAGGGGGAGAUGUAAGUCAGGUGUGAAAACCACGGGGUCAACCUUGGGACUGCAGUUGAAACUGUAGUUCUUGAGUACUGGAGAGGCAGGCGGAAUUCCUAGGGGAGCGGUGAAAUGCGUAGAUAUUAGGAGGAACACC
Molecule: ribosomal RNA, 358 nt
Filed under: uncultured bacterium
Lineage: Bacteria
Description: partial 16S ribosomal RNA
Rfam family: Bacterial small subunit ribosomal RNA
Source: RNAcentral